Molecule: ribosomal RNA, 835 nt
Filed under: Phaeosphaeriaceae sp.
Lineage: Eukaryota; Fungi; Ascomycota; Dothideomycetes; Pleosporales; Phaeosphaeriaceae
Description: eukaryotic LSU rRNA
Rfam family: Eukaryotic large subunit ribosomal RNA
Source: RNAcentral
GAAGAGAUCAACAGGGAUUGCCUUAGUAACGGCGAGUGAAGCGGCAACAGCUCAAAUUUGAAAUCUGGCUCUUUUAGAGUCCGAGUUGUAAUUUGCAGAGGGCGCUUUGGCGUUGGCAGCGGUCCAAGUUCCUUGGAACAGGACGUCACAGAGGGUGAGAAUCCCGUACGUGGUCGCUAGCCAUCACCGUGUAAAGCCCCUUCGACGAGUCGAGUUGUUUGGGAAUGCAGCUCUAAAUGGGAGGUAAAUUUCUUCUAAAGCUAAAUACUGGCCAGAGACCGAUAGCGCACAAGUAGAGUGAUCGAAAGAUGAAAAGCACUUUGGAAAGAGAGUCAAAUAGCACGUGAAAUUGUUGAAAGGGAAGCGCUUGCAGCCAGACUUGCCUGUAGUUGCUCAUCCGGGCUUUUGCCCGGUGCACUCUUCUGCGGGCAGGCCAGCAUCAGUUUGGGCGGUUGGAUAAAGGUCUCUGUCAUGUACCUCUCUUCGGGGAGAACUUAUAGGGGAGACGACAUACAACCAGCCUGGACUGAGGUCCGCGCAUUUGCUAGGAUGCUGGCGUAAUGGCUGUAAGCGGCCCGUCUUGAAACACGGACCAAGGAGUCUAACAUCUAUGCGAGUGUUUGGGUGUCAAGCCCGAGCGCGUAAUGAAAGUGAACGGAGGUGGGACCCCUUUUAGGGUGCACCAUCGACCGAUCCUGAUGUCUUCGGAUGGAUUUGAGUAAGAGCAUGGCUGUUGGGACCCGAAAGAUGGUGAACUAUGCUUGAAUAGGGUGAAGCCAGAGGAAACUCUGGUGGAGGCUCGCAGCGGUUCUGACGUGCAAAUCGAUCGUCAAAU